GACUGCACGCAAAGAGCAGAGAGAGAGAGAGAGUAUCAAAACUAGCAAAAAAUGAUGCUAAAAAAAGCUGUCAUCCUUCUUUCUUUGAUCUGCAUUUCGAUUGCUGGUGUUUCUGGUCAAGCACCAGCAACGUCACCAACAGCAACACCAGCACCACCCACACCAACUUCUUCUCCACCGCCAGCAACCACUCCUCCACCAGUUUCAGCCCCACCUCCUGUUACCCAAUCUCCACCUCCAGCUACCCCUCCUCCAGUUUCAGCCCCACCACCUGCCACCCCUCCUCCCGCAACCCCACCACCAGCAACUCCUCCUCCCGCCACCCCACCACCAGCAACCCCACCACCUGCUACUCCUCCACCAGCAACCCCUCCUCCCGCUGUUCCUCCACCAGCUCCAUUGGCAGCUCCACCAGCUCUUGUUCCAGCUCCAGCUCCCAGCAAGCCUAAGUUGAAGUCUCCAGCUCCAUCUCCCCUGGCAUUGAGUCCUCCAUCUCCACCAACUGGCGCUC
This 511-nucleotide long non-coding RNA is filed under the name Populus trichocarpa (black cottonwood). Its description in RNAcentral is "long non-coding RNA (PTRI_LNC002324)". The record is from RNAcentral. Lineage: Eukaryota; Viridiplantae; Streptophyta; Magnoliopsida; Malpighiales; Salicaceae.